RNAcentral lists this ribosomal RNA (496 nucleotides) under uncultured bacterium. RNAcentral describes it as "partial 16S ribosomal RNA". It matches the Rfam family "Bacterial small subunit ribosomal RNA", at positions 28 to 506 of the family's 1533-position model. The record is from RNAcentral.
GAUGAACGCUGGCGGCGUGCCUAAUACAUGCAAGUCGAGCGAACAGAUGAGGAGCUUGCUCCUCUGGCGUUAGCGGCGGACGGGUGAGUAACACGUGGAUAACCUACCUAUAAGACUGGGAUAACUUCGGGAAACCGGAGCUAAUACCGGAUAAUAUAUUGAACCGCAUGGUUCAAUAGUGAAAGACGGUUUUGCUGUCACUUAUAGAUGGAUCCGCGCCGCAUUAGCUAGUUGGUAAGGUAACGGCUUACCAAGGCAACGAUGCGUAGCCGACCUGAGAGGGUGAUCGGCCACACUGGAACUGAGACACGGUCCAGACUCCUACGGGAGGCAGCAGUAGGGAAUCUUCCGCAAUGGGCGAAAGCCUGACGGAGCAACGCCGCGUGAGUGAUGAAGGUCUUCGGAUCGUAAAACUCUGUUAUUAGGGAAGAACAAAUGUGUAAGUAACGAUGCACGUCUUGACGGUACCUAAUCAGAAAGCCACGGCUAACUACGU